AACGAACGCUGGCGGCAUGCUUAACACAUGCAAGUCGAACGGGCGCCUUCGGGCGUCAGUGGCGCACGGGUGAGUAACGCGUGGGAAUCUGUCACGAAGUGGGGAACAACCACUGGAAACGGUGGCUAAUACCGCAUGUGCCCCGAGGGGCAAAGGUCGAAAGGCCGCUUUGUGAGGAGCCCGCGUCCGAUUAGCUAGUUGGUGGGGUAACGGCCUACCAAGGCUCCGAUCGGUAGCUGGUCUGAGAGGAUGAUCAGCCACACUGGGACUGAGACACGGUCCAGACUCCUACGGGAGGCAGCAGUGAGGAAUAUUGGUCAAUGGGAGCAAUCCUGAACCAGCAAUGCCGCGUGUGGGAUGACAGGGCUUCGCCUUGUAAACCACUGUCGGACGGGACGAAAGGAGGCCUCGGGGCCUCUGGGACGGUACCGUCAAAGGAAGGGUCGGCUAACUACGUGCCAGCAGCCGCGGUAAU
This 475-nucleotide ribosomal RNA is filed under the name uncultured bacterium. RNAcentral describes it as "bacterial SSU rRNA". It matches the Rfam family "Bacterial small subunit ribosomal RNA", at positions 29 to 524 of the family's 1533-position model. The record is from RNAcentral.